GAUGAAGAACGCAGCGAAAUGCGAUACGUAAUGUGAAUUGCAGAAUUCAGUGAAUCAUCGAGUCUUUGAACGCACAUUGCGCCCCCUGGUAUUCCGGGGGGCAUGCCUGUCCGAGCGUCAUUGCUGCCCUCAAGCACGGCUUGUGUGUUGGGCCUCCGUCCUCCUCCCGGGGGACGGGCCCGAAAGGCAGCGGCGGCACCGCGUCCGGUCCUCGAGCGUAUGGGGCUUCGUCACCCGCUCUUGUAGGCCCGGCCGGCGCUUGCCGACACAUCAAUCUUUUUUCCAGGUUGACCUCGGAUCAGGUAGGGAUACCCGCUGAACUUAAGCAUAUCAAUAAGCAGGA
Molecule: unclassified non-coding RNA, 343 nt
Filed under: soil metagenome
Description: partial contains 5.8S ribosomal RNA, internal transcribed spacer 2, and large subunit ribosomal RNA
Rfam family: 5.8S ribosomal RNA (bases 1-120)
Source: RNAcentral